GACGAACGCUGGCGGCGUGCUUAACACAUGCAAGUCGAACGGAAAGGCCCUGCUUGCAGGGUACUCGAGUGGCGAACGGGGGAGUAAAACGUGGGUGAUCUGCCCUGCACUUCGGGAUAAGCCUGGGAAACUGGGUCUAAUACCGGAUAGGAGCCAUUUUUAGUGUGAUGGUUGGAAAGUUUUUUCGGUGUAGGAUGAGCUCGCGGCCUAUCAGCUUGUUGGUGGGGUAAUGGCCUACCAAGGCGGCGACGGGUAGCCGGCCUGAGAGGGUGGACGGCCACAUUGGGGCUGGGAAACGGCCCAGACUCCUACGGGGGGCAGCAGGGGGGAAUAUUGCACAAUGGGCGCAAGCCUGAUGCAGCGACGCCGCGGGGGGGAUGACGGCCUUCGGGUUGGAAACUCCUUUCGCUAGGGACGAAGCUUUUUGUGACGGUACCUAGAUAAGAAGCACCGGCUAACUACGUG
RNAcentral lists this ribosomal RNA (465 nucleotides) under uncultured bacterium. RNAcentral describes it as "partial 16S ribosomal RNA". It matches the Rfam family "Bacterial small subunit ribosomal RNA", at positions 28 to 507 of the family's 1533-position model. The record is from RNAcentral.